UGGGGAAUAUUGGACAAUGGGCGGAAGCCUGAUCCAGCCAUGCCGCGUGUGUGAAGAAGGCCUUUUGGUUGUAAAGCACUUUAAGCGAGGAGGAGGCUACUUGGAUUAAUACUCAAGGAUCGUGGACGUUACUCGCAGAAUAAGCAUAGGCUAACUCUGUGCCAGCAGCUGCGGUAAUACAGAGGGUGCGAGCUUUAAUCGGAUUUACUGGGCGUAAAGCGUGCGUAGGCUGCUUCUUAAGUCGGAUGUGAAAUCCCUGAGCUUAACUUAGGAAUUGCAUUCGAUACUGGGAAGAUAGAGUAUUGGGGAGGAUGGUAGAAUUCCAGGUGUAGCGGUGAAAUGCGUAGAGAUCUGGAUGAAUACCGAUGGCGAAGGCAGCCAUCUGGCCUAAUACUGACGCUGAGGUACGAAAGCAUGGGGAGCAAACUGG
RNAcentral lists this ribosomal RNA (430 nucleotides) under Fusobacteriota bacterium. RNAcentral's name for it is "Fusobacteria bacterium partial 16S ribosomal RNA". It matches the Rfam family "Bacterial small subunit ribosomal RNA", at positions 355 to 776 of the family's 1533-position model. Lineage: Bacteria; Fusobacteriati; Fusobacteriota. The record is from RNAcentral.